RNAcentral lists this ribosomal RNA (466 nucleotides) under uncultured bacterium. Its description in RNAcentral is "partial 16S ribosomal RNA". It matches the Rfam family "Bacterial small subunit ribosomal RNA", at positions 28 to 507 of the family's 1533-position model. The record is from RNAcentral.
GACGAACGCUGGCGGCGUGCUUAACACAUGCAAGUCGAACGGUAAGGCUCCAGCUUGCUGGGGUACACGAGUGGCGAACGGGUGAGUAACUCGUGGGUGACCUGCCCUGCACUUCGGGAUAAGCCUGGGAAACUGGGUCUAAUACCGGAUAGGACCAUGGUGUGGAUACUGUGGUGGAAAGUUUUUUCGGUGUGGGAUGGGCCCGCGGCCUAUCAGCUUGUUGGUGGGGUAAUGGCCUACCAAGGCGGCGACGGGUAGCCGGCCUGAGAGGGUGGACGGCCACAUUGGGACUGAGACACGGCCCAGACUCCUACGGGAGGCAGCAGUGGGGAAUAUUGCACAAUGGGCGGAAGCCUGAUGCAGCGACGCCGCGUGGGGGAUGACGGCCUUCGGGUUGUAAACUCCUUUCACCAUCGACGAAGGGUUUCUGACGGUAGAUGGAGAAGAAGCACCGGCUAACUACGUG